AAUCCAUAGGUUAAUGAGGCGAACCGGGGGAACUGAAACAUCUAAGUACCCCGAGGAAAAGAAAUCAACCGAGAUUCCCCCAGUAGCGGCGAGCGAACGGGGAGGAGCCCAGAGCCUGAAUCAGCAUGUGUGUUAGUGGAAGCGUCUGGAAAGGCGCGCGAUACAGGGUGACAGCCCCGUACACAAAAGCGCAUGUGCUGUGAGCUCGAUGAGUAGGGCGGGACACGUGGUAUCCUGUCUGAAUAUGGGGGGACCAUCCUCCAAGGCUAAAUACUCCUGACUGACCGAUAGUGAACCAGUACCGUGAGGGAAAGGCGAAAAGAACCCCGGCGAGGGGAGUGAAAAAGAACCUGAAACCGUGUACGUACAAGCAGUGGGAGCACCCUUUGGGGUGUGACUGCGUACCUUUUGUAUAAUGGGUCAGCGACUUAUAUUCUGUAGCAAGGUUAACCGUAUAGGGGAGCCGUAGGGAAACCGAGUCUUAACCGGGCGUUAAGUUGCAGGGUAUAGACCCGAAACCCGGUGAUCUAGCCAUGGGCAGGUUGAAGGUUGGGUAACACUAACUGGAGGACCGAACCGACUAAUGUUGAAAAAUUAGCGGAUGACCUGUGGCUGGGGGUGAAAGGCCAAUCAAACCGGGAGAUAGCUGGUUCUCCCCGAAAGCUAUUUAGGUAGCGCCUCGUGAAUUCAUCUCCGGGGGUAGAGCACUGUUUCGGCUAGGGGGCCAUCCCGGCUUACCAACCCGAUGCAAACUGCGAAUACCGGAGAAUGUUAUCACGGGAGACACACGGCGGGUGCUAACGUCCGUCGUGAAGAGGGAAACAACCCAGACCGCCAGCUAAGGUCCCAAAGUCAUGGUUAAGUGGGAAACGAUGUGGGAAGGCCCAGACAGCCAGGAUGUUGGCUUAGAAGCAGCCAUCAUUUAAAGAAAGCGUAAUAGCUCACUGGUCGAGUCGGCCUGCGCGGAAGAUGUAACGGGGCUAAACCAU
Molecule: ribosomal RNA, 989 nt
Filed under: Salmonella enterica subsp. enterica serovar Heidelberg
Lineage: Bacteria; Pseudomonadati; Pseudomonadota; Gammaproteobacteria; Enterobacterales; Enterobacteriaceae
Also listed under: 3 other names
Description: partial 23S ribosomal RNA
Rfam family: Bacterial large subunit ribosomal RNA
Source: RNAcentral